AGGAUGGGCCCGCGGCCUAUCAGCUUGUUGGUGGGGUAAUGGCCUACCAAGGCGACGACGGGUAGCCGGCCUGAGAGGGCGACCGGCCACACUAGGACUGAGACACGGCCCAGACUCCUACGGGAGGCAGCAGUGGGGAAUAUUGCGCAAUGGGCGAAAGCCUGACGCAGCGACGCCGCGUGAGGGAUGAAGGCCUUCGGGUUGUAAACCUCUUUCAGCAGGGACGAAGCGAAAGUGACUGUACCUGCAGAAGAAGCACCGGCUAACUACGUGCCAGCAGCCGCGGUAAUACGUAGGGUGCGAGCGUUGUCCGGAAUUAUUGGGCGUAAAGAGCUCGUAGGCGGUCUGUCACGUCGGAUGUGAAAACUCGGGGCUCAACCCCGAGCCUGCAUUCGAUACGGGUAGACUAGAGUUCGGUAGGGGAGACUGGAAUUCCUGGUGUAGCGGUGAAAUGCGCAGAUAUCAGGAGGAACACCGGUGGCGAAGGCGGGUUUCUGGGCCGAUACUGACGCUGAGGAGCGAAAGCGUGGGGAGCGAACAGGAUUAGAUACCCUGGUAGUCCACGCCGUAAACGUUGGGCGCUAGGUGUGGGGGACUUUCCACGUCCUCUGUGCCGCAGCUAACGCAUUAAGCGCUCCGCCUGGGGAGUACGGCCG
This 656-nucleotide ribosomal RNA is filed under the name uncultured bacterium. RNAcentral describes it as "bacterial SSU rRNA". It matches the Rfam family "Bacterial small subunit ribosomal RNA", at positions 222 to 888 of the family's 1533-position model. The record is from RNAcentral.